CCUGGACGCUGGCGGCGUGGCUAAGACAUGCAAGUCGCACGGACCCGCAAGGGUUAGUGGCGAACGGGUGAGUAAUGAAUCGCUAAUGUACCCCGGACUCUGGGAUAGCUUUCCGAAAGGGAGGGUAAUACCAGAUGAUAUAACCUGAUCGCAUGAUCGGGUUCUCAAAGGUCCGCCGGUCUGGGAGCAGGCGAUUUCGUAUCAGCUAGUUGGUGAGGUAACGGCUCACCAAGGCGACGACGCGUAGCCGGACUGAGAGGUUGGCCGGCCACAUUGGGACUGAGACACUGCCCAGACUCCUACGGGGGGCUGCAGUAACGAAUCUUCCGCAAUGUACGAAAGUAUGACGGAGCGACGCCGCGUGUAGGACGAAGCCCUUCGGGUGUAAACUACUGUCA
This 398-nucleotide ribosomal RNA is filed under the name uncultured bacterium. Its description in RNAcentral is "bacterial SSU rRNA". It matches the Rfam family "Bacterial small subunit ribosomal RNA", at positions 30 to 438 of the family's 1533-position model. The record is from RNAcentral.